GUGGGGAAUAUUGGGCAAUGGGCGCAAGCCUGACCCAGCAACGCCGCGUGAGGGAAGAAGGCUUUCGGGUUGUAAACCUCUGUCCUUGGUGACGAAAAAAAUGACGGUAGCCAAGGAGGAAGCCCCGGCUAACUACGUGCCAGCAGCCGCGGUAAUACGUAGGGGGCGAGCGUUGUCCGGAAUUACUGGGCGUAAAGGGUGCGUAGGUGGCCUUUUAAGUUGGAUGUGAAAUCCCCGGGCUUAACUUGGGUGGUGCAUCUAAUACUGGAGGGCUAGAGUGCAGGAGAGGGAAGCGGAAUUCCUAGUGUAGCGGUGAAAUGCGUAGAUAUUAGGAAGAACACCAGUGGCGAAGGCGACUUUCUGGACGAAAACUGACGCUGAGGCGCGAAAGCCAGGGGAGCGAACGGGAUUAGAAACCCCUGUAGUCC
This 428-nucleotide ribosomal RNA is filed under the name uncultured bacterium. RNAcentral describes it as "partial 16S ribosomal RNA". It matches the Rfam family "Bacterial small subunit ribosomal RNA", at positions 354 to 796 of the family's 1533-position model. The record is from RNAcentral.